This 201-nucleotide ribosomal RNA is filed under the name Botrytis cinerea. RNAcentral describes it as "partial large subunit ribosomal RNA". It matches the Rfam family "Eukaryotic large subunit ribosomal RNA", at positions 82 to 279 of the family's 3401-position model. The record is from RNAcentral. Lineage: Eukaryota; Fungi; Ascomycota; Leotiomycetes; Helotiales; Sclerotiniaceae.
AGUAACGGCGAGUGAAGCGGUAAAAGCUCAAAUUUGAAAUCUGGCUCUUGUAGAGUCCGAAUUGUAAUUUGUAGAAGAUGCUUCGGGUGUGGUUCCUGUCUAAGUUCCUUGGAACAGGACGUCAUAGAGGGUGAGAAGCCCGUAGGUGACUGGAUUCCUAUGCUCAUGUGAAGCUCUUUCGACGAGUCGAGUUGUUUGGGA